RNAcentral lists this ribosomal RNA (253 nucleotides) under uncultured bacterium. RNAcentral's name for it is "partial 16S ribosomal RNA". It matches the Rfam family "Bacterial small subunit ribosomal RNA", at positions 524 to 776 of the family's 1533-position model. The record is from RNAcentral.
UACAGAGGUCCCAAGCGUUGUUCGGAUUCACUGGGCGUAAAGGGUGCGUAGGUGGCGUCGUAAGUCAGGUGUGAAAUCUCGGGGCUCAACCCCGAAACUGCACUUGAUACUGCGAUGCUCGAGUACUGGAGAGGAGAUUGGAAUUUACGGUGUAGCAGUGAAAUGCGUAGAUAUCGUAAGGAAGACCAGUGGCGAAGGCGAAUCUCUGGACAGUUACUGACACUGAGGCACGAAGGCCAGGGGAGCAAACGGG